AGAGUUUGAUCCUGGCUCAGGAUGAACGCUAGCGGGAGGCCUAACACAUGCAAGCCGAGCGGUAUUUGUCUUUCGGGACAGAGAGAGCGGCGUACGGGUGCGGAACACGUGUGCAACCUGCCUUUAUCUGGGGGAUAGCCUUUCGAAAGGAAGAUUAAUACCCCAUAAUAUAUUGACUGGCAUCAGUUGAUAUUGAAAACUCCGGUGGAUAGAGAUGGGCACGCGCAAGAUUAGAUAGUUGGUGAGGUAACGGCUCACCAAGUCUACGAUCUUUAGGGGGCCUGAGAGGGUGAUCCCCCACACUGGUACUGAGACACGGACCAGACUCCUACGGGAGGCAGCAGUGAGGAAUAUUGGACAAUGGGUGCAAGCCUGAUCCAGCCAUCCCGCGUGAAGGAUGACGGCCCUAUGGGUUGUAAACUUCUUUUGUAUAGGGAUAAACCUAGAUACGUGUAUCUAGCUGAAGGUACUAUACGAAUAAGCACCGGCUAACUCCGUGCCAGCAGCCGCGGUAAU
This 516-nucleotide ribosomal RNA is filed under the name uncultured bacterium. RNAcentral describes it as "bacterial SSU rRNA". It matches the Rfam family "Bacterial small subunit ribosomal RNA", at positions 8 to 524 of the family's 1533-position model. The record is from RNAcentral.